CGACUAGUUUUUAAUACGUGCGAAAUAUACCUCUAACUUGUCAAAUUUUGGAAUCUAAAACCCCUAAGGGGAUGUUUGGUAUAGGGAAAUGGAAUUGUUUCCAUUUCUCUUGUUUGUAUAACAUGAUUAUGACCUAAACAAUUUUUCUACUAGUCGAAUAUUGGCAACCCAUCGAAGACUGGCAACGAACAAUUAUGCAAAUAAGGGUUUAACCACUUGAGGGUGUUUGAAAGUUGUGGCCUGUUUAUCUCAUUCUUUUUUCUUUUAUGUUGCGCAUUAGUAUACGGGCUUUCAGAGGAGUUGUUGACCUUCAAAACAUUCAGAGAUGUUGCACACACCACCUGCUCGAUGAAAUGUCACAGUUAGUCUUCAAACACAAAUACAAAAUCAUAGUUAGUAUAUCGAGUUCUUACCUUAGACAUGGUUGCAAAAGGGCUUCCUUUGGGUACCCUCCUUCUCUCCAAGUGGGAGAUCAAUAUUGUAAGUAGUUAUUACCCAUGUUUAUGAGUUUAUCUUUUGUUAUGGUGCUUUUGAAAUGACGACCUGGUUUGAUAGUUUGUAAAACAAUGGCUACGUUAUGGUAUGUUUUAAGCAAUACAUAUGUUAUGGUCCAUGCUAGUUUUUCA
This is a long non-coding RNA of Lactuca sativa (garden lettuce), 626 nucleotides long. RefSeq lists it as uncharacterized. The record is from RefSeq and is a predicted model, not a curated record. NCBI's taxonomy places the organism in Eukaryota, Viridiplantae, Streptophyta, Magnoliopsida, Asterales, Asteraceae.